CUCUAUACUACAGUACGUUACGUUUACUCUGCCACCUCACAACCUACCAUUUUUCUACCAUUCUUUGUUAUUUCUUUUCAAACGUAUAAAUUUGAAAUUUUAACAUUUUUGCAUUAUUAUAUAUUAUUAUUAUAUAUUAUACAUUAUUUCAUUUUUUAGAUUCAUAAAUAUUAAAUAUAAAAGAUCAAGAAGACACAGAAGGAUUAUAAAGCAAAAGAUUUGAUUCACUCUACACAUUAGGUUACACUGCACUUACUCUACUACUACAUAAUCUGCAAUUUUUCUACCAUUUUUUGUAGUUUCUUUCCAAACGUACAAUUUGAUAUUUUACUAUUUUUGCGUCACUGUAUAUUAUUACAAAACUGCGCAGUUUUAUGCAAUUAUGGAAAAUUUGAAGAUACAAAAAUGCAUAUAAUACAUAUUAUAUGUAAAGAUAUGUGAAAAUAUUCAAAGUAGAGUACCUAUUUUAUUAAUUAUAUUUAUAAAAAUUUGUACAUAUUAAAUAUGAAGAAUUGAGAAAAUGCAGAAGGAUUGUAAAGCAAGAGAUUUUUCAAUUGAUGGAAGAUGUAGACAGAUGCAAGUACUAUAAAUUCCGGACGAAUAACGGCACCGUUUCUAGUGAAUGCAAAGUUGUUGGAGCAGUGAUGCACAAUCGACAAUGCUUCGCAUUCACGGUACCUAAGCGAUCUCAAAAUCUUAAAAAUCGUAUGAUAAUUUCCGUGUACAAGAUUUGUCCUGUUCACUAUGUGCAAUAUUAUAGCAAUAUGAAGUAUAUUCGCAAAUGAAUACAGUUUUGCACGUUUGACCAGCGGGAGUGUACAAUUAAAAAAGCUUGUGCACCACUGAAGCUAGAAUGACUCAUAUUCGUCGGACUCUCCCUACCAUUUCUUUUUGUGUUUUCGCUUCCACUUCGUUUUUUCCUUAUUUACGUCGCUUAUAUUCGUUACUUUUAGGCAUUUCAACGACUGUUUUGAACAGAAGAAAAUAUCACUAGCCAAGAAGAUUGUACAUUGUACUUUUACAUCGAAACUUGUACUUCAGAAGAAACUUGUACAUUUCAUGAAGCGGACUCACUGGUUCAAAGUCGCAAAACCUUUAUCAGUACUUGAAACUGUUAUGACUAUGACACAAUGCUUCUUGGAGUUCCAUUAUCGUUGGAGAGAAAUCAACAUUAUUUAUAUUUCAAAGAGCAAGUCGCGUUAAAUGUGUUACAUAAAAGUUCUGAACCUACGAUAUUUUUUACAAGCAUAUUUUUAAAAAAUCGGGAAACAAAUUUCACUCUCUAGCAAAAUCUAACAUCGAAGUACUUUCUAAUGAAGAACAGUAUUCAAUCUAUCUUGAGAAGCUAUUUCUUUCAAAAUUUCUUAUGAUUAUAUUUGUUCUAAAAUCAGUUAAAUAUAGACUAAUCCUGCAACAGGCAAUAAGAAAUAUACACAAGUGCGAUAAGACAAAAAGAACAGAAUGGAAGAAAUUACAGAUUCAAGAAGGAUGAGAAGGUACAGAUAUAGCGUACAUCAGUGGCUCCAAGAGAACGUUUCAAGGGAUACGUUCCAACGGUGGGUCAGCAUCGACAAGGCUGUGUAUAGGUCCUUAUAUGGUAGCCAGCCGUAUGGCUGUAUAUAGAGAGAGCUCGAAAGAGGCUGAAUACGCAACUGUGAAACACGUUCGUGUCCUUUACGUAUCCGCUUGUUGAAUAUUUCUUCUCUCCCUAUCGUCGGUACACGUGUAGGAGUCUUGCAUUGAGUGCACGCAUACGAAAGCACCCACUGGUCUGCGUUAUGCGUAACGGUAACAAAAGAAGAGGAGAUUGCUUUAGUUGUACGGUUAACACGUUUGAGUAUGUCCAAUACAUACGAAUUAAUCUUCUCAAGGCUAGUUUCAUUUUUCAAAAUUGUAUAUAACUUUAUGAAAAAGAAACAAGCCUUUAUACAUAAUAAAGAAUCUCAUAGUAAUGCCAAAAUUAAUGUAGUCUUAUUCAAAUGCUUGAUAUCGUACGAUUUCGCGGCAUGUUACAAAGUUAAGUCGGUCGAUUUCACAAAAGUCAAGAAAGCAACGGUAGUCCUCGAUGAUUCUAAAAGAUGUAUCUCAUUGGAUUAUCAUGAUACAACGAGGGGGAAGAGGAGGGCUAAAAACAGCUUCAGUACGCCAGUGUCCGAAGAGAAAUCACGAUAAAUCCUACUUGAUCUCGCGAGGAGAAAAGAGGUCUGCAAGUUAAUAAGGAAACUAGGUUGCUCGCACCGACGCGCUAGCCGGUUUGCAGGACGCGUCGGUGUACGCUACGCUUCGACGAGCCAUGCUCAUCGCGAGAUUGAACAUAUCAUAUGAGACUCACGUUUAACUGGGUAUCUUGAAAUCUCUGUACUAUAAUUACCAUAAAGAACGUUUAGUAUUUUGUCAUAAACAACAGUAAUUAUUCGAAUUUUGACGUCAUUCAUACAUAUCUUGUACAUUGAACAUUUAUAAUAUAUAUUUUUAGCUAAAGAAGAUAUGAACAGCUGCAAAGGGAUCGCGCGCAUUAUUCAUAACUUCUACGUAAGUCUGGUGAACGGACCGGCGUGUGUCUGGAACCGAUCGACUGUAAACGCAUCCGGUGGAAUCGAUAAGAUCAGUUAAUCGUCCAAAGGUUUCUGGGCAGACAUUGUCGUGGGUUCGUGGUAAAGAGAGAUCUUACGGCUGACGGCUAACGAGUUCGCGCGGCCUGCCAAUUAACUUGGGUAAUCGCGUUUAAUGGAGGACCCUCAGUGGCGUAUGCAGCGGUUCGUUUCUGAGCGGACUCGUGUGGCGUUUGGCUAUUGCAUUGACCAGUUAAUGGUGCUGGUGGACUGCGCACACGCUUGGCCACCUACGUAUACCGUCAAAUACCCACGUAAAAGCGUGCAGCAUGGCUAGAAAAUGCGUUUGCUUGCGAUGAUUCCGUGUUGCGCUCGCGCUCCGAGCAAACGCGAUACAAACGCCCUCUUUUUCUCUCUUUCUUCUUCUCUUCCUCUCUCUUUCGUGCAACCGUGACGGCUAACGAACCCUGGACGCGCGCGUAUCGUAUCGAGCGGUGGCGCGUACGUUCAGGGACGUAUUACGUGUUACCAAGCGGCUUGUCCUGCUCGCAGACUUGAAAAUACACUUCUUUUUGUCCUUAUCGUAUAAAAUGAAUUUUUCAGGCUCCAAAAGUAUCAUAAAAAUUUCUAUUGAAGUGCCCUAAUUUAAUUUUGUUAAUCUCGUUAACCUCAUUAACCUUAUCAAUAUUAAGGUAUAGAUUUCGAUAUAUCUUCGUAAUUAACAAAUAUUUAGCUGCGUUUAUAGUUAUAAGAAAAGCAAGAAUUCACCGCGAACGAUGAAAGCCACGUCAUACAUUAAAUUAUACCGCUAUUUCGACGCAGUAACCGAUGCGGAAGGAAUCCUCUUCAGCGGUCAAGAUUUCGUGAACGAGUACCAAGAUUGCUUUCGUCAUUACGCUUCUGCAUGACAAGCGACAUCCCGAUUGUGAUACUUGACAAAUAAGGGGUGAUACACUCGUGUUCAGAAGGCACUCAUUUCGUCAGGAACGUACGAUAAAUAUUCUACCAUUUGUUUAAUAAAUUUAAAGCUCUUUAAUAUUUUCUUUUUAUUAAUCAUCCCAUUAUAUUCUAGAUUCAACUGUAGAUUGUGUUCUAGGUUCUAGUCCAGAAUCGACCUUGAGUGUGCUCGAAAAAGUCUUAGGAUAUUUCUCUUCCGGAACGUGAAUGAAAUAGCGGUGCGCGCGCGCCCCUUUGGGGCUGUCGUGUAAAUAUAUACGUGUCGGUUUUAUACAUGUAGGGUUGCAUCGGGGGAGCGGUCGACUGGUGGCAGACGGUUUCAUCGAUUGGCAAUGCGGGGGUCGAAGAGUGGGGUAUCUGAACUCUUCACAGCUAUCUAUGCGUACUACAUAACGUAUCGACGACCUCGACUUUCAUGGUCAAUGGUAAAAAGGUGAUUUUUUAAUACAUCGCGUGGGAUUUACCUCGAUCCUCGUUCUUUUUCCAUUAACACGCAAGCAUUUGUAGAUAACAGAAGUAUAUAUCAGAAUUAUUAAAAGGCAUAGAUGUAAAAUACGUGCUAUUAGAAUAGAUUAUAAAAAUGUAUUUAUUUUCAGAUAAAUGACUGAAUCUUAUUUAAAGAAAUCUUCUAGUGGAAGUAUGGAUUUGUCAUCAGAUAUUUAUCUAGUUUGGACGCACUAAAUUGCAAAUACAUAGAUACAAGUUAUCAUACUCGUUAUGUUCAAGAGUAAACCGAUGUGUUAUACGUACGAGACAUCGCAAAUAAAAAUUGUGUCUGCUAUACAAAUCGAUAAACAGAAUUUCUAGAGUGUUUUACUUAUUCGAAAUAUCUGCUCGUUUGCCUUGAAACGAGCCAACUUGUCCGAGACAUGAUAAGAUGCAAAUACCGCUGGAUUCUCCCUUAUGAAGAUACCACGCAUGAAUAUGUGUAGAUUUAAUUAGAGAAAAAUGCAAUUUGUAUUGCAUGUACUGCAAUGUAAUGAGUCCACCAAGGCAACUAUUUAUUAAAAAGAAUAUUUGUUUCA
Long non-coding RNA from Bombus huntii, 4534 nucleotides. RefSeq lists it as uncharacterized. NCBI's taxonomy places the organism in Eukaryota, Metazoa, Arthropoda, Insecta, Hymenoptera, Apidae. The transcript is spliced from 4 exons. The record is from RefSeq and is a predicted model, not a curated record.